Molecule: ribosomal RNA, 271 nt
Filed under: uncultured bacterium
Lineage: Bacteria
Description: partial 16S ribosomal RNA
Rfam family: Bacterial small subunit ribosomal RNA
Source: RNAcentral
UACGGAGGAUCCAAGCGUUAUCCGGAUUCAUUGGGUUUAAAGGGUGCGUAGGCGGAAUGGUAAGUCAGAGGUGAAAGCCUGCAGCUUAACUGCAGAAUUGCCUUUGAUACUGCCAAUCUUGAGUACAUUUGAAGUGGGCGGAAUGUGUCAUGUAGCGGUGAAAUGCUUAGAUAUGACCCAGAACACCGAUUGCGAAGGCAGCUCACUAAACUGUAACUGACGCUGAGGCACGAAAGCGUGGGGAUCAAACAGGAUUAGAUACCCUUGUAGU